AUACGUAGGGUGCGAGCGUUAAUCGGAAUUACUGGGCGUAAAGCGGGCGCAGACGGUUACUUAAGCAGGAUGUGAAAUCCCCGGGCUCAACCUGGGAACUGCGUUYUGAACUGGGUGACUAGAGUGUGUCAGAGGGAGGUAGAAUUCCACGUGUAGCAGUGAAAUGCAUAGAGAUGUGGAGGAAUACCGAUGGCGAAGGCAGCCUCCUGGGAUAACACUGACGUUCAUGCCCGAAAGCGUGGGUAGCAAACAGGAUUAGAUACCCUGGUAGUCCACGCCCUAAACGAUGUCAAUUAGCUGUUGGGCAACUUGAUUGCUUAGUAGCGUAGCUAACGCGUGAAAUUGACCGCCUGGGGAGUACGACCGCAAGGUUGAAACUCAAAGGAAUUGACGGGGGCCCGCACAAGCGGUGGAGCAUGUGGUUUAAUUCGAAGCAACGCGAAGAACCUUACCAGGUCUUGACAUCCCUCUGA
Molecule: ribosomal RNA, 473 nt
Filed under: uncultured bacterium
Lineage: Bacteria
Description: bacterial SSU rRNA
Rfam family: Bacterial small subunit ribosomal RNA
Source: RNAcentral